RNAcentral lists this long non-coding RNA (234 nucleotides) under Durio zibethinus. RNAcentral describes it as "long non-coding RNA (DZIB_LNC001274)". The record is from RNAcentral. Lineage: Eukaryota; Viridiplantae; Streptophyta; Magnoliopsida; Malvales; Malvaceae.
AUCUAAAAUAUUUAAAAAAUUAUAAAAAUUAAAAAAUAUAAAAAUAUUUUUAGAAAUUAUAAAAAUUAUGAAAACUUAAAAUUUCCAAAAACAAAUCUCAAAAUUCAAAAAGUUUUUGAAAAAUUAAAAAGAUGAAAAUUUAAUAAAAAUAUAAUUUUUGUAAAAUUCAAAAAAAGAUUUACAAAAGUUAAAAAAUAAAAAUCUAAAAUCUAAAAUUUUUUUAAAAAAUCUAAA